UCAAGGCCCAGCACAACCCACACGUUCCGGCAGUCGGAUACGCCUCGAAAAAGUUCAUUGACACAAAUGGAAUUUGCUGCUCACACAUGGACAGGUCAAAGUAUUUUGACAGAGGACAACUUUGACUUUCAAGAAGAGAUUCCAAGUGACAUCUUGAAACCACCUCACCAGAACCAUUGGAGCACUCGUGGCCUCAGCACACUGCUUAUCACUUGAAAAAUGGAGGAACAAGUGUUAUAUUUAUCUGUGUGUCUGACAGUGUGAGAUGUUAGACCGAGAGAAAAGCAAACAAAUAAAUCACUUAAUCUUGAACACUUUGCACUGUAAAGAGAGUGAAAGUCAAACCCACCAAGCUGCCUUGCUGAAAGCAUCUCCAAGGUUCUGUAGGCUUUGUUCAGAAGACCCUGAUGUGUGUUUGCAGUCCGU
This 426-nucleotide long non-coding RNA is filed under the name Pan troglodytes (chimpanzee). Its description in RNAcentral is "long non-coding RNA NONPTRT012843". The record is from RNAcentral. Lineage: Eukaryota; Metazoa; Chordata; Mammalia; Primates; Hominidae.